This 536-nucleotide long non-coding RNA is filed under the name Anser brachyrhynchus (Pink-footed goose). RNAcentral describes it as "lncRNA (ENSABRG00000015130.1)". The record is from RNAcentral. Lineage: Eukaryota; Metazoa; Chordata; Aves; Anseriformes; Anatidae.
CCUCUCUUUACUCUCUACUUUUAGCAUAAAUACUGGACAAACAUAGGGCUAACGUUACACUGAAUUUUCGGGAGGAAUCUCCCAGAUCACUUUUUCCCCACACACAAAUAAGAAUCUUUUCACGUAAUAUGUCAUAAUCAUUAGAUUGAUAUACAGCAUGGCAACAAGAUUUUGGCCAUAGUCAGUGAGGCAGUGCGUAGAUCCACAGGUGGAUGCAGUGCUGCUCAAAGAAAAAGAUGGAGUCUUAUCCAAACAUACUCAGACAUUUUUAGACCAUCUAUUUUAGCUACUUCUUUCCCUGGCAAUAACCUCAGAAAAACUCCUGUUGGAAGCACUACUGAUGCUAACAGUACGUCCACUAAAAUAUCUUUGGUGAAAUGGUGUACAUUAGGGAUGAGUCAAAAUGUUCAACCGCACAAGGUGAUGAGUGCUUCUGUUUAGCCACCUGGGAUCCAAGAAUACCUGGUCAAGUAUUUUGUGAGCUUCUGCCUGCUUAAACUGGCCGACAUGGGGAAGAAAACCACCAGAGAUUCAAA